GAAUACAACAAUAAGACGAGAAGACCCUAUGGAGCUUUAAUUAACCGACCCAAAGAGACCCAUUAAUUUCAACCGACAGGAACAACAAACCUCUGUAUGGGCCGACAAUUUAGGUUGGGGUGACCUCGGAGAACAGAACAACCUCCGAGUGAUUUAAAUCAAGACUAACCAGUCGAAAGUAUUACAUCACUUAUUGAUCCAAAAGUUUGAUCAACGGAACAAGUUACCC
This 229-nucleotide ribosomal RNA is filed under the name Puma concolor (puma). Its description in RNAcentral is "partial 16S ribosomal RNA". The record is from RNAcentral. Lineage: Eukaryota; Metazoa; Chordata; Mammalia; Carnivora; Felidae.